This 245-nucleotide ribosomal RNA is filed under the name Serendipita aff. vermifera 1 CRJH-2017. RNAcentral describes it as "partial 28S ribosomal RNA". It matches the Rfam family "Eukaryotic large subunit ribosomal RNA", at positions 104 to 344 of the family's 3401-position model. Lineage: Eukaryota; Fungi; Basidiomycota; Agaricomycetes; Sebacinales; Serendipitaceae. The record is from RNAcentral.
AAAGCUCAAAUUUUGAAUCUGGUGUCUUUGGCGCCCGAGUUGUAAUCUAGAGAAGUGUUUUCCGUGUCGGACCGUGUACAAGUUCCCUGGAACGGGGCGUCAUAGAGGGUGAGAAUCCCGUAUAUGCCAUGGACUACCGAUGCUCUGUGAUACACUCUCAACGAGUCGAGUUGUUUGGGAAUGCAGCUCAAAAUGGGUGGUAAAUUCCAUCUAAAGCUAAAUAUUGGCGAGAAACCGAUAGCGCA